AGAACGAACGCUGGCGGCAUGCCUAACACAUGCAAGUCGAACGAGACCUUCGGGUCUAGUGGCGCACGGGUGCGUAACGCGUGGGAAUCUGCCCUUAGGUUCGGAAUAACAGUUAGAAAUGACUGCUAAUACCGAAUAAUGACGUAAGUCCAAAGAUUUAUCGCCUAAGGAUGAGCCCGCGUAGGAUUAGCUUGUUGGUGAGGUAAAAGCUCACAAGGCGACGAUCCUUAGCUGGUCUGAGAGGAUGAUCAGCCACACUGGGACUGAGACACGGACCCAGACUCCUACGGGAGGCAGCGAGUGGGGGAAUAUUGGACAAGUGGGACGAAAGCCUAGAUCCAGCAAGUGCCGCGUGGAGUGA
RNAcentral lists this ribosomal RNA (361 nucleotides) under uncultured soil bacterium. RNAcentral's name for it is "bacterial SSU rRNA". It matches the Rfam family "Bacterial small subunit ribosomal RNA", at positions 26 to 409 of the family's 1533-position model. The record is from RNAcentral.